This 491-nucleotide ribosomal RNA is filed under the name uncultured bacterium. RNAcentral's name for it is "partial 16S ribosomal RNA". It matches the Rfam family "Bacterial small subunit ribosomal RNA", at positions 30 to 507 of the family's 1533-position model. The record is from RNAcentral.
AUUGAACGCUGGCGGCAUGCUUUACACAUGCAAGUCGAACGGUAACAGGCCUUCGGGUGCUGACGAGUGGCGAACGGGUGAGUAAUGCAUCGGAACGUACCCAAAGGUGGGGGAUAACGCAGCGAAAGCUGUGCUAAUACCGCAUGUGAUCUGAGGAUGAAAGCGGGGGACCGAGCAACAAUGUUUGGCUCGCGCCUUUGGAGCGGCCGAUGUCGGAUUAGCUAGUUGGUGGGGUAAAGGCCUACCAAGGCGACGAUCCGUAGCUGGUCUGAGAGGACGACCAGCCACACUGGGACUGAGACACGGCCCAGACUCCUACGGGAGGCAGCAGUGGGGAAUUUUGGACAAUGGGCGCAAGCCUGAUCCAGCAAUGCCGCGUGCGGGAAGAAGGCCUUCGGGUUGUAAACCGCUUUUGGCAGGAACGAAACGGUGUCCGCUAAUACCGGGCGCUAAUGACGGUACCUGCAGAAUAAGCACCGGCUAACUACGUG